UGCUGUGAGGUUAUUCACUCCCGCAGCUCCUAAAGCCAGGGACUCAGAGGAAUCACCUGGCUUUUCCGAUCUCAUUUAGGAGAGUGGCCCAGAACUGUGCUACAGUGUGGCAACGGGCCCUUUAACAAGGGCCUCAAGCGAUUAUGAUGUAACCAGCGCUUGGCACACGGUGUCAGCCGCCUCUGAGUCCUUCUACAGAGGCAGACGGAGAUGAAGGGGUUUACCCCAUGUCCAGCAGCUAGCAAUUUAAGGCACGCCAGAAUCCAGGAACCCGGUCCACGUGACAGCCUCACUUCCCAGGAUCGCUGGUCCCUCCAUCCAAAACCGGCACGAUUGGACCUUUGCAACAUUCUGCCAGCUAUCCUGAUCUCUGUGGCAUGUUUGCUCAAUAGCAGAGCUCACUGAAAGGAGGACUACCAGCUGCUGGCUGUAGAGCUGGAGGUGCAAGGACCAUCAAACAUGUCCAGGUGAUGCUGUGGCGAUGGGAAAGGAUCAGGUGCUUUAAGCCCUCGGGAGUCGACUUGGAUCCACGUUGGACAGCAUUUGCCAGGCCCAAGCGGCACUUGAUUGUACCACAGAGCAUGAACAGUGAAGUGAAAACAGUUAGCUACUCCAGGAUGUGGCCAGCACUCCAGCUUUCCCAGGUCCCCCAAAGAUGAACAAUGCCCAAAUCAGCAGGAAGUAGUCCUGAGAAUAUAUAUGGCGUCCUCAUCCCUACCUCACCUGCUACCCCUUUCUAAUUCCUCACCUUUAUAUAAUAAAUAAAAAGGGAGGCAUGUUAGUACUCAAGCCUCUAUACAGCAGCCCCACCAGAGACCAGACUGACAAUUCUGAAUGGAAGGCAAAGCUACCAGUGAAGGAGAGAGCAGAUCUGUUGAGGGUGGGGCAGGUGGAUAGGGUCGGUGAGCUCCGCAAUACUUGGGUUGUCCAUCCUCUGCUGCAGACACUAAGAGCACCUCCUGUGCACAUUCACCACGGUCCCUUUUAAGGGCCCUGCCCACCUCCCAUCCCUCUGUCUCCAUCUGCCUGUCCAUCUGACCCCUUUUUCUUAUGUCCCCAGAGGCCAGUCUCCC
Molecule: long non-coding RNA, 1073 nt
Organism: Arvicola amphibius (Eurasian water vole)
Lineage: Eukaryota; Metazoa; Chordata; Mammalia; Rodentia; Cricetidae
Exons: 4
Source: RefSeq, a predicted model, not a curated record